Molecule: long non-coding RNA, 1102 nt
Filed under: Homo sapiens (human)
Lineage: Eukaryota; Metazoa; Chordata; Mammalia; Primates; Hominidae
Description: HSALNT0126557
Source: RNAcentral
CCACGGGCUUCCCUGCCCUGAGCAGCUGCAGCUGCAGCCGCCGCCGCCCAGCUGAGGGCCAGGGAGGGAGCGGGGAGGCCAGAGGCUUUCAUACGUCCGAAAAGACUAAUAACCCCACCGCCACCGCGGGACUCAGACGCGAACCAACCGCUUGCCUGCUCUACCCCGCCUGAGCUUUCCUGGGGACCAGCCCUUCCCUGUCCGUCCUAGCCAGCGACCGAACCCCGGGGCCCUCAGGACAGUCCGCUGGUGGUUCUGCCUCCUGAGGACUUGCGCACGCGGGCCGGAGGCCUGGGGAUUGGUGACUAUUCUGCCUCUUCCGCCACCGUUGGCGGCUGAACACUCCUCCCCGGUGUCUGAGUUCAGGGGCCCAGCCUGCGGAUAACACCUCAGGCUACCUACAGGCCCGGGGACUCGCGUGCCCGCCCAACCUGGUCAGCCACCACCAACACCAGCAGGGACCGCCUGGAUUCCGGAGGGUUGCCCCCCCAACUGCAACUACCCUGCCCACAUCACACCCACUGCCCCAACGCCUGAGAUCAGCCACACCCCCAGCCAGUGGCUGCCACUACCAGCAUUAGAGCAGGGCACCUAGAGACACACGAAUCACUCCCCACAACCCGCUAAUAACAGAGCCAGCAUGCACUGCUCUGGGACUAAAGAAUAGGAAGAAGUCCUCCCCUACAAAGCGAGUUCACAAACUUGGAAGAAGCCACUUUCACAGGAUGCACAGAUCUCAACGGAAGGACACAGAAAACAUGAAAAAGCAAGGAAAUGGGGCGCCUCCAACGGAACCCAGUAAUUCUCCAGCAGCAGAUCCCCAUCCAAAAGAAACAGAAGACAUUUUGGAGAGAGAAUUGAAUAUACAUAUUAUACAGUUGUGGGCAUAAUACAAGCAUCAUUUGGAAAAGAACAGAGAAAAAAGAUGGAAGGAGUUACCGUACUGCAGGAAAAAAUUAUCAACUCCAGUGAUAUUAUUAAAUACAACCUAACGACACUUCUGAAGCUGAAGAAAUCACUGGAUGAAAUACAAAGUAAACUCAAAAGCUUCAGUGAUAGACUAGAACAAGAAGAAGAAAGACUCUCAAAACUUGAAAUCUGA